RNAcentral lists this ribosomal RNA (489 nucleotides) under fungal sp. AM2013. RNAcentral describes it as "eukaryotic LSU rRNA". The stretch from base 117 to 270 matches the Rfam family "5.8S ribosomal RNA". Lineage: Eukaryota; Fungi. The record is from RNAcentral.
AACCUCCCACCCGUGUUGCCCGAACCUAUGUUGCCUCGGCGGGCCCCGCGCCCGCCGACGGCCCCCCUGAACGCUGUCUGAAGUUGCAGUCUGAGACCUAUAACGAAAUUAGUUAAAACUUUCAACAACGGAUCUCUUGGUUCCGGCAUCGAUGAAGAACGCAGCGAAAUGCGAUAACUAAUGUGAAUUGCAGAAUUCAGUGAAUCAUCGAGUCUUUGAACGCACAUUGCGCCCUCUGGUAUUCCGGAGGGCAUGCCUGUCCGAGCGUCAUUGCUGCCCUCAAGCCCGGCUUGUGUGUUGGGCCCCGUCCCCCCCGCCGGGGGGACGGGCCCGAAAGGCAGCGGCGGCACCGCGUCCGGUCCUCGAGCGUAUGGGGCUUCGUCACCCGCUCUAGUAGGCCCGGCCGGCGCCAGCCGACCCCCAACCUUUAAUUAUCUCAGGUUGACCUCGGAUCAGGUAGGGAUACCCGCUGAACUUAAGCAUAUCAUA